CAUUAUUAUCCUCAUCUUCAUCAUCAGUAGGAUUAGGAUCAUAACUAACAGUAGUUUCAUUUUCAAAUAAAGCUGUCUCAGCCAUUACAGUUCCCAAUCCUCCUAGUCCGGCACGUGUUGUACGUGGCUAAUUAAGUGAGACAGGAUCAGAUUCGUGCUCCAUGUGCUCCAUGGUAGCUGUCGCAUAACUAAAACUGACACCCGC
Molecule: long non-coding RNA, 205 nt
Filed under: Elaeis guineensis (African oil palm)
Lineage: Eukaryota; Viridiplantae; Streptophyta; Magnoliopsida; Arecales; Arecaceae
Description: long non-coding RNA (EGUI_LNC013138)
Source: RNAcentral